UGGCUCAAUUGGUAGGGCAUGGCGCUUGCAAUGCUAGGGUUGUGGGUUUGAUUCCCAC
Molecule: transfer RNA, 58 nt
Filed under: Salmo salar (Atlantic salmon)
Lineage: Eukaryota; Metazoa; Chordata; Actinopteri; Salmoniformes; Salmonidae
Rfam family: tRNA
About the family: Transfer RNA (tRNA) molecules are approximately 80 nucleotides in length. Their secondary structure includes four short double-helical elements and three loops (D, anti-codon, and T loops).
Source: Rfam by way of RNAcentral